This 107-nucleotide small nuclear RNA is filed under the name Sciurus vulgaris (Eurasian red squirrel). The record is from RNAcentral. Lineage: Eukaryota; Metazoa; Chordata; Mammalia; Rodentia; Sciuridae.
GUGCUUGCUUCAGCAGCACAUAUACUAAAAUUGGAAUGCUAUAGAGAAGAUUAGCAUGGCCCCUGCACAAAGAUGACAUGCAAAUUCGUGAAGCAUUUCAUAAUUUU